Molecule: non-coding RNA, 72 nt
Organism: Antechinus flavipes (yellow-footed antechinus)
Lineage: Eukaryota; Metazoa; Chordata; Mammalia; Dasyuromorphia; Dasyuridae
Source: the annotation of a RefSeq genome assembly
UUCCUGGUGGUCUAGUGGUUAGGAUUUGGCACUCUCAAUGCUGUGGCCCAGGUUCGAUUCCCGGUCAGGGAA